UGUUAUACCCUUUAUCACUUUUUUGUUGUUGCUCUACACUAAUCGGAUCCAAACCCCUGCGUCCUCAUUCUUUUUUCAAUAAGAACAUGAUGCUUAAAAUAUAAAGCCCAUUUCGUCCUCUGAUGCAAUGGAAGGGUUUUUUUCCGAUGACUAUUUGAGGUUAAGAGAUUCGAUCUUUUUUCAAUUAUUUUGUUUCAAAACGCAAGAAAAGGUUGGUGUUACACAGUAUUUUAUGAAGGAUGGUGUGUUAUGGUCAGAUACAGGUUCGUCUUUUCAUCUUAAAUCUCAAUUGUCAAUCGGUUUGUAGCAGAUAUGGAAAUCAAAUUGAUUUUCGGCCCAAAACUCAAACCCAAAUCCUAUUAAAUAUGCUCAUUUGUGUUUGAAUUCCAUGGAUUUUUAUACAUCUUUUGUCUUAUUUGUUGUUUUUAUCACAUGGAAAUCAAACGUAGCAUAUAUUGAAUUGUCGUUUUUGGUUUAAAUAUGUAAUUUCUUUUGAAACCCAAAAAAUCAAAAUCUUUAUACAAAUGUCAUAUACUAUUAAACUUAUAUUGGUGCCAAAUCCUUUUUUAAACUCGUCAGCCUUGAUUUUUAAUAGGCAAUAUUUUUUUUCAUGUUUUUAAGGAUAUGUAUGCAUUCAUCUAAUCUAGAUUUUUUGCGUUUUCACACUCAAUGGUGGUCAAGGAAACUGAUGCAAGCUUUCAGUUACAAGUGGAUCUGUGUUUGAUGGAAGGGGAUUACCUGGAUUGCAUAAAUUACCAUAACAAAUCUUGAGUUCCUAUAAGUUGGAGUCAUGUGUUUCAUAUGAACCGGAUCUUCAUGAUUUGAAUGUCUCUAGCACUUGUAGUGAUGAUUGUUGUUGCUCAAGCCAUGACAUCAUAGGCACAUCAUGGACGAUAGACAUGCUAAUAGAAUUAAUAUGUUAUAUGUUUUUUA
Molecule: non-coding RNA, 933 nt
Organism: Lactuca sativa (garden lettuce)
Lineage: Eukaryota; Viridiplantae; Streptophyta; Magnoliopsida; Asterales; Asteraceae
Source: RefSeq, a predicted model, not a curated record